GUCGAACGGUAACAGGCCUUCGGGCGCUGACGAGUGGCGGACGGGUGAGUAACGCGUAGGAAUCUGCCUCAUAGUGGGGGACAACGUGGGGAAACUCACGCUAAUACCGCAUACGCCCUACGGGGGAAAGGAGGGGAUCUUCGGACCUUUCGCUAUGAGAUGAGCCUGCGUUAGAUUAGCUAGUUGGUAGGGUAAAGGCCUACCAAGGCGACGAUCUAUAGCUGGUCUGAGAGGACGAUCAGCCACACUGGGACUGAGACACGGCCCAGACUCCUACGGGAGGCAGCAGUGGGGAAUAUUGGACAAUGGGCGAAAGCCUGAUCCAGCAAUACCGCGUGUGUGAAGAAGGCCUUAGGGUUGUAAAGCACUUUCAAUUGGGAGGAAAACCUGCCGGCCAAUACCCGGUAGCUUGACAUUACCUUUAGAAGAAGCACCGGCUAACUCCGUGCCAGCAGCCGCGGUAAUACGGAGGGUGCGAGCGUUAAUCGGAAUUACUGGGCGUAAAGCGUGCGUAGGCGGUUCGUUAAGUCAGAUGUGAAAGCCCUGGGCUCAACCUGGGAACUGCAUUUGAAACUGGCGGACUAGAGUUUAGUAGAGGGGAGUGGAAUUUCAGGUGUAGCGGUGAAAUGCGUAGAUAUCUGAAGGAACACCAGUGGCGAAGGCGACUCCCUGGACUAGAACUGACGCUGAGGUACGAAAGCGUGGGUAGCAAACAGGAUUAGAUACCCUGGUAGUCCACGCCGUAAACGAUGUCGACUAGCCGUUGGCCCUAUUUACAGGGUUAGUGGCGCAGCUAACGCA
This 801-nucleotide ribosomal RNA is filed under the name uncultured bacterium. Its description in RNAcentral is "bacterial SSU rRNA". It matches the Rfam family "Bacterial small subunit ribosomal RNA", at positions 61 to 859 of the family's 1533-position model. The record is from RNAcentral.